This 497-nucleotide ribosomal RNA is filed under the name uncultured bacterium. Its description in RNAcentral is "partial 16S ribosomal RNA". It matches the Rfam family "Bacterial small subunit ribosomal RNA", at positions 28 to 507 of the family's 1533-position model. The record is from RNAcentral.
GAUGAACGCUGGCGGCGUGCCUAAUACAUGCAAGUCGAGCGAACAGACGAUGAGCUUUCUCCUCUGACGUUAGCGGCGGACGGGUGGGUAAACCGUGGAUAACCUACCUAUAAGCCUGGGUUAACUUCGGGAAAACGGAGCUAAUACCGGAUAAAAUAUUGCACCGCAUGGCUCAAUAGUGAAAGACGGUUUUCCUGUAACUUUUAGAUGGAUACGCGCCCCAUUAUCUAGUUGGUGAUGGAACGGCUUACCAAGGCAACGACGCGAAACCGACCCGAGAGGGUAAACGGCCACACUGGAAGUGAGACAGGGUCCAGACUCCUACAGUAGGCAGCAGUAGGGAAUCUUCCGCAAUGGGGCAAAGCCUGACGGAGCAACGCGGCGUGAGUUAUGAAGGUGUUCGGAUCGGAAAGCUCUGUUAUUAGUGAAGAACAAAUGUGUAAGUAACUAUGCACGUCUUGACGGUACCUAAUCAGAAAGCCACGGCUAACUACGUG